UAUAUCUCUCAUCAUUUACUCUGUUCCUCACAAGCAAUAAAAAUCUCACAACAUACAUAUACAGUACUGGAAAUGGCUAAAUCUCAAGUUUCCUACACCAUUUUCUUUGCCCUUCUCAUCUGUUUCCUCCUUGUAGCAUCCAAUGGUAAAAAACCCUUUGUUUGUUCAUUUCAAAAUAAAUUUUGUUACAAUUUUUACUGAGCAAAUCAUGUUUAGUAGCAUGCAGCAAUGCACAUUACACGCUUCAUUAAUCGACAAGUAGUAGUUUUUUUUUUUUUUUUUUUUUUUUUUUUUGGGGGGGGGGGGGGGGGGUCCAUUGCAACUUAGUGAACAUGUCAUAAGUACUUGUUUGGUAGGGAGGAAUAUUUGACACCGCUUCAAUGUAGAAAGGAGGUUAAAAUUUAUACUAUGUAGUCGUGUUCAGUAUCGAGCCCUUGUUUGGCUGCAUUUUUUAAAAAAUGCAUUUCUUUCAAAACUUUUACAUAAAAUAAUGACACAUAUAAACUCAAAACUUUUCCUUACACUUUAUCCAAAAAGUUACUAUUCUAAAACACAUUUUGCCUCCAAAAUCUCAUUUUAAUGGAGCAUAAACAUGGGCCGACUUAUCUAUGAAAAUUGAAGCACCUUUUUUGUGCUAAGAAAACGAAAAUGACAUAAUUUCAGCAUGCCUUCAAGCAACUCAAAUGUUGGUAAUUAAACUUCACUAAUAUAUAUACCUUCUUUUUGUUUCUCUCUCUAUAUAAAUAUAUAUGCAGAGAUGCAGAUGGCUGAAGCUAGAGUUUGUUCGAGGCUGAGCAAGACAUGGUCUGGAUUAUGCCUGAACUCCGGGAACUGCAACCGGCAGUGCAGGAACUGGGAGGGGGCUCUGCGUGGAGCUUGUCACAAAAGGGGCUGGGGAUUCGCUUGCUUUUGCUACCGGAAAUGCUGAGAUUAAUCAUGUCAACGUGCUGUCUUCGUAAUCACAUGAAUGAAUAAAUAGUUGCUAUUCGGUCAGCAACUAUAUAUGUAUCGAAAUCACUUAAGUACCAAUGUGUCUGUGUUUGUGUAUGUUACUACUUAAGGCCUUCAGCUUCAUAAUAUAAUUAUCAAUAUUAAC
This 1096-nucleotide long non-coding RNA is filed under the name Olea europaea subsp. europaea. Lineage: Eukaryota; Viridiplantae; Streptophyta; Magnoliopsida; Lamiales; Oleaceae. The record is from RNAcentral.